Long non-coding RNA from Nerophis ophidion (straightnose pipefish), 2849 nucleotides. RefSeq lists it as uncharacterized. The transcript has 3 exons. NCBI's taxonomy places the organism in Eukaryota, Metazoa, Chordata, Actinopteri, Syngnathiformes, Syngnathidae. The record is from RefSeq and is a predicted model, not a curated record.
CAGUGACUGAGUUUGAGCUCAAAUAAAUGCCGUGAUGUCUGCAGCCCUUUGCAGAAGGCAGCAGGCAUUAAAGCUUCCACAAUGGGCUCCUGUAUGUGUUGGGCUUCACAACAAGCACCGUUUUGCACAGGGCUCUGCUGACUGAAGUGAUCCCGGCGGGCCGAGCGCGGCUGAGGAAGGAGCGGCAGCCUGGCGGGGAAGAUGGGAUCGCGGCGGGGAAGAGCUCCACUGAUGCUGCACACACUCAAACGCAAACACACUCCAGCGCUCACACAAUGUGUCCCUCUCAGUCGUGGCUUGUGACCGGUCCACGGCAUUGGCCAGAAGACCCGUUGAUGAGCGUGAAAUGAGUCUGGAGCUCAUUGACAGUUCAAGAUGGAGAGCAAACUGAGAUUAGACCGGGUUAAUUAAUUGAGGCCUUGGCAAAAUGUCUUCCCAUCCCGCGGAAGACUUGCUCUGUUUAUUAUCUUCCUGCCAAUCACUGCCUAAAUGACAUUUUCAAACUUUAAUCAGUGUUUUCCAUACAUUCAUUUACUCUUGGCGGCCAUAUUAGUUUUUCCACAGAGUUUGGUGACUAUUUCUCUAGGUAAAAAUGCAUCUUUUUUAUUUUAUGUCAAUUUUGUUCCGUUGAAACUGUAUUUUUUAAACAUUUGUACAAGUUCAAAAUGAUCGCAAUGCUAAUUUACAUUAGCCUGUCAAUAGGAUUGUCCAUUAUACGUUAGCAAAAAGCUAACAGCAUACAAUUCAGGCUUUAUCCUGUAUAGCAUGGGUGUCAAACUCUAGCCCGCGGGCCAUGUUUGGCCCGCCGUGUAAUUUCAUUUGGCCCUUGAGGCAAUAUCAAAUUAAACAUUAGAGCAGGCCUGCCAGUAUUAUACAGCGGUGAUGCCGCUCUAACACCACUAAUCCUCAUGCUUGCCAACCCUACCGGAACUCCCGAAGUUCAGUGCCCCUCCCGAAAAUCUCCCGGGGGAACCAUUCUCCCAAAUUUCUACCGAUUUCCACCCGAACAACAACCUUGCAUCACGUCCGCUUUUCCUACAUAUAAACAUUGUGCCGUCUUUGUCACACAAAAUAAGCAGAUUUUACACACACAUAAGUUAAUGCAAGGCAUGCUUGAUCAGGUCACACUUAGGGGGGAUGAAUAAACAACUUUAACGCUUUUACAAAUAUGCGCCACACCGUGAACCCACACGAAACAAGAAUGACAAACACAUUUCGGGAGAACAUCCGCACCGUAACACAGCAUAAACAAAACAGAAGAAAUACGCAGAAUCCCUUGCAGCACUAACACCUCUGGGACGCUACUAUAUAUAACUUGAUAUGCCAUUGAUAUUUUUUGAUUAUAAUUAUUGUUUAUUUGAAACUCUAUUUUGCAUGUCACUAUAAAAUUAUAUAAGCCUUGCUUGUUCAAUAUUCAAUGCAAAACUAGUUUGGGUCCCUAUUAAAAGGUUAAUGUGUUCAAUAUUGGCCCGCGGCUCAGUUCAGUUUAAAAUUUUGGCCCACUCAUUAUUUGAGUUUGACACCCCUGCUGUAUAGUAUAGUUUAACUGUGUUGAUGAUACUAACCUGUAUUGUUAAUUCAACAUGCUUCCUAUACAAUGUUGGGACCAACAUGUUACUUUGUAACGCGUUACUGUAACACCGUUAUUUCCGGCAGUAACUAGUAGUCUAACGCAUAAUUUUUUAUAUUCAGUAACUCAGUUACCGUUACUACAUGAUGCAUUACUGCGUUAUUUUACGUUAUUUACAACUUACAAAUAAAAAUGAUUCUUCUGAUUCUUCUUCUUCUGAUUUUUUAUAUAGUAUCGGCUAGAAAUUGAGAAGAUCUGAGUGUUUUAUCGGAGAGCUGCGGUGUCCUCCUUCUGAUUCUUCCAGUGUCACAAGAGGCGCGCUGUGUGUGUGUGUGUGUGUGUGGGCGGGGUUACGUGUCUGUGUUUACUAACAAGACAUCAUUGCGGAGCCGUAGCCGAGUUUCUUAACAUGGAGAUACUCUCACUACUUUUCUUUUGACGAGCACAAAGAAACGAAUAUUUUAGUUAAAUGUAAGUUGUUUCUUGGGUCAAAGAUCCUAUCUACUGCCCAAAACAGCAAUUAAAAUCUGCUGAAACAGCUACAAAAGCAAAAUGCUUCGAUGAAGCUAGUAAAGAGAGACACUGACUCCGAUACCAAUUCACCUCCACCACCACCUGAGGAUUUUAACAGAGGGACUGCUACCCAGGACAACAUUGAUAGAGCCAUUGCAGUGUAUGUGGUAGAAGACAUGCUGGCUAUUUCUAUUCAGGCAGCUGAUUAGCAUGAUAUCGGGCAUCAAACAUCAAAUGGCACGGAGAACUUGUUCCACGUAUCUGGACAGCGAGUACAUAAACAUGGAAAGCAAGCCAAAGAAGACACUCUGCUCAUCAUUCAGCACUGAAUGCACGCACACUCUGUCAAUUCUCUUAUAUAAUAUUUUAUUCUAGAAUUCUAGAGUGUUUGAUUAUCACCACUCUAUAGACUAUAAAGUUCACAAACAUAAAGAGGGAUCAUAGUGGGCCAGGCCAAUCUUUCCUUUUCUCUAAACUAAAACUGGGGAAAUGUGUAGAGUGUUCUGGGCUUCAGUACAGUGUUGAUCUCCUGAAGACAUGAUUUUAUUUCACAAUUCCUUGAGAGAAAAACACGCCCGGUUAGGCGUGUGUAUCAGUAUGUGUGCUGUGUAUGGUGACAUGACAUAUACAUGUCAUGUGUGCCUUCCUUGGGUGAAGCCAGGUUUACAGCUAUGUUGUGACAUGUUGCUAUGCAGUUUGUUACUUAUGUAUGUCAUGUUGCAGCUAUUUAAAUUAGUUUUGUCAAUUUGUUCCGGCCCAAAAUAAA